RNAcentral lists this transfer RNA (74 nucleotides) under Candidatus Iainarchaeum sp. Its description in RNAcentral is "tRNA-Ile". It matches the Rfam family "tRNA". Rfam says of the family: Transfer RNA (tRNA) molecules are approximately 80 nucleotides in length. Their secondary structure includes four short double-helical elements and three loops (D, anti-codon, and T loops). Lineage: Archaea; Nanobdellati; Candidatus Iainarchaeota; Candidatus Iainarchaeia; Candidatus Iainarchaeales; Candidatus Iainarchaeaceae. The record is from RNAcentral.
GGGAGGGUAGCAUAGUCUGGUGGUGCUCUCGACUGAUAAUCGAGUGGUCCUGGGUUCAAAUCCCAGCCUUCCCA